UUGGGGGUGAAAUUUUGGAGGCUUUUGGGGGAAAAUCCUGGAAAUUUGGGGGUGAAAUCUCAGCAGUUUUAGGGACAAAUCCCAAAAAAUUUGGGGCUGAAAUUUCAGAGAUUUGGGAAUUAAAUCUCCACAGUUUUAGGGAAAAACCUCCGAGAUUUGGGGGUGAAAUCCUGGGGGAUUUGGGGACAAAUCCCAGAAAAUUUGGGGCUGAAAUUUCAGAGGUUUUGGGGGAAAAUCCUGGAAAUUUGGGGCUGAAACCCCACAGAUUUGGGAAUUAAAUCCCCACAGUUUGGGGGAAAAUCUCCGAGAUUUGGGGGUGAAAUCCUGGAGGUUUUGGGGGAAAAUCCUGGAAAUUUGGGGCUGAAAUCCCCACAGAUUUGGGAAUUAAAUCCCCACAGUUUUGGGAACAAAUCCUGGGGUUUUGGGGGAAAACCUCAGAGAUUUGGGAAUUAAAUCCCCACAGUUUUGGGGAAAAACCUCCGAGAUUUGGGGCUGAAAUCCUGGGGGAUUUGAGGACAAAUCCCAGAAAAUUUGGGGCUGAAAUUUCAGGGAUUUUGGGGGAAAAUCCUGGAAAUUUGGGGCUGAAAUCCUCCCAGAUUUGGGGAUGAAAUCCCAGCAGUUUUGGGAACAAAUCCUGGGGUUUUGGGGGAAAACCUCAGAGAUUUGGGAAUUAAAUCUCCACAGUUUUGGGGGAAAAUCCUGGAAAUUUGGGGCUGAAAUCCUCACAGAUUUGGGAAUUAAAUCUCCACAGUUUUGGGGGAAAAUUUCAGAGAUUUGGGGGUGAAAUCCUGGAAGUUUUGGGGGAAAAUCCUGGAAAUUUGGGGGUGAAAUCCUCACAGAUUUGGGGAUGAAAUCCCCACAGUUUUGGGAAAAAAUCCUGGGGUUUUGGGG
Zonotrichia albicollis (white-throated sparrow) is the source of this 891-nucleotide non-coding RNA. The record is from RefSeq and is a predicted model, not a curated record. NCBI's taxonomy places the organism in Eukaryota, Metazoa, Chordata, Aves, Passeriformes, Passerellidae.